This 162-nucleotide unclassified non-coding RNA is filed under the name uncultured fungus. RNAcentral describes it as "sequence contains ITS1, 5.8S rRNA gene". Lineage: Eukaryota; Fungi. The record is from RNAcentral.
CCGAGUGAGGGUCUCACGGCCCGACCUCCAACUCUGUGUUUAAUAACCACUGUUGCUUUGGCGGGCCCGCCUUUGGCCGCCGGGGUUCGCCCUGGCCCGCGCCCGCCAGAGACCCCCAAAAUUCGCUGAACCGUGCCGUCUCAGUUAUAAACAAAAUGAAUA